Molecule: long non-coding RNA, 258 nt
Filed under: Bos indicus x Bos taurus (hybrid cattle)
Lineage: Eukaryota; Metazoa; Chordata; Mammalia; Artiodactyla; Bovidae
Description: lncRNA (ENSBIXG00005030561.1)
Source: RNAcentral
GAGGGUUACAUUUAGGGUUAUUCUGUGUUGCUCAUGUAAUUUAGGAUUAUAAUUUUUUGUAAUUGUUAUAAUUAUAAGUUGUUAUAAUUGUUGUUAUUCUGUUGAAUAACAACUUCGGCUUAACUAUGCUAAAUAAUUUGUUUAAACUGUGUAUGCAUUUACAGUUCUAACGAUCCUCUGGACUCCAAUUUCAAUGCCUUCUCCCCUUCCCCAGAGCUACCAGAAUCCAUGCCCAGACCAAAAAAACCAAGGUCACUG